RNAcentral lists this ribosomal RNA (470 nucleotides) under Serratia sp. EPR-1. Its description in RNAcentral is "bacterial SSU rRNA". It matches the Rfam family "Bacterial small subunit ribosomal RNA", at positions 171 to 639 of the family's 1533-position model. Lineage: Bacteria; Pseudomonadati; Pseudomonadota; Gammaproteobacteria; Enterobacterales; Yersiniaceae. The record is from RNAcentral.
UUACGUCGGGGGACCCAUGAGGGGGACCUUCGGGCCUCUUGCCAUCAGAUGUGCCCAGAUGGGAUUAGCUAGUAGGUGGGGUAAUGGCUCACCUAGGCGACGAUCCCUAGCUGGUCUGAGAGGAUGACCAGCCACACUGGAACUGAGACACGGUCCAGACUCCUACGGGAGGCAGCAGUGGGGAAUAUUGCACAAUGGGCGCAAGCCUGAUGCAGCCAUGCCGCGUGUGUGAAGAAGGCCUUCGGGUUGUAAAGCACUUUCAGCGAGGAGGAAGGUGGUGAACUUAAUACGUUCAUCAAUUGACGUUACUCGCAGAAGAAGCACCGGCUAACUCCGUGCCAGCAGCCGCGGUAAUACGGAGGGUGCAAGCGUUAAUCGGAAUUACUGGGCGUAAAGCGCACGCAGGCGGUUUGUUAACUCAGAUGUGAAAUCCCCGGGCUCAACCUGGGAACUGCAUUUGAAACUGGCAA